UAGUUUGAUUAUCAUGUUUUAUACAGUCUAAGUCCAUUUUCUACAAAUUUCUCUUUUUAAAACCACAUUUUCUAUUAAGCAAUGCAACACAUUAUUCUUAUGCUUACAAGCAAUUGUGAACACAUCCGUGCAAACCGAAAGCAUUUAAACAGCAACAUGAAUUUCAUCGUGUAAAACAUUAUAACUAGGUUCAUGUUAUCCAACAUACUCAAAAUUCUUUCAAAAUUCACUA
This 232-nucleotide long non-coding RNA is filed under the name Panax ginseng (ginseng). RNAcentral describes it as "long non-coding RNA (PGIN_LNC013132)". Lineage: Eukaryota; Viridiplantae; Streptophyta; Magnoliopsida; Apiales; Araliaceae. The record is from RNAcentral.